RNAcentral lists this ribosomal RNA (447 nucleotides) under uncultured bacterium. Its description in RNAcentral is "partial 16S ribosomal RNA". It matches the Rfam family "Bacterial small subunit ribosomal RNA", at positions 29 to 523 of the family's 1533-position model. The record is from RNAcentral.
AGCGAACGCUGGCGGCAGGCUUAACACAUGCAAGUCGAACGGUCCUUCGGGAUAGUGGCGGACGGGUGAGUAACACGUGGGAACGUACCCUUAGGUUCGGAACAACACAGGGAAACUUGUGCUAAUACCGGAUAAGCCCUUCGGGGGAAAGAUUUAUCGCCUUUGGAGCGGCCCGCGUCUGAUUAGCUUGUUGGUGAGGUAAUGGCUCACCAAGGCUACGAUCAGUAGCUGGUCUGAGAGGAUGGCCAGCCACACUGGGACUGAGACACGGCCCAGGCUCCUACGGGAGGCAGCAGUGGGGAAUCUUGCGCAAUGGGCGAAAGCCUGACGCAGCCAUGCCGCGUGGAUGAUGAAUGUCUUAGGAUUGGAAAAUCCUUUCACCGGGGACGAUAAUGGCGGUACCCGGAGAAGAAGCCCCGGCUAACUUCGUGCCAGCCGCCGCAGUAA